Brienomyrus brachyistius is the source of this 1059-nucleotide long non-coding RNA. RefSeq lists it as uncharacterized. NCBI's taxonomy places the organism in Eukaryota, Metazoa, Chordata, Actinopteri, Osteoglossiformes, Mormyridae. The record is from RefSeq and is a predicted model, not a curated record. The transcript is spliced from 5 exons.
UUUGGAAAAUGUAAAUGUGUAGUUCUGUAUAUAAAAUGGAAUAUAUAAUUACAAUGAAAUUAAUGUAAGUAAAUGUACCAUCAGAUGUAGACACUAUAGAACUAAUGUCUUGCACUACAAAAUGUGCUGAGAAGGCACAGAAUGUCACUGAAACACCAUGGAAGGCUUUGCUGAAAAAGAAUAGUGAGAGGGCGAAGAGGCACAGACAUCUAUGGGCCAAGCACUUCACACAGCUAAAAUGAAGUAAUGCUGAACAGUCAUGCAUGUGGAUGAGCUAAGAUCUAACUGGGAAAGCUGGCCAGUGUGUGAGGAAUGUUCAUCUAGGUACAGUGGAUGUGCCACAACUAGGUGGGCAAAGCAAAGGCCACCAAUGCAUAACUGUCAUAUGCCACCCUGAGGACCAAACCAAGGGACAUCUGUCUGUCCAAGCUCUACUGUACUGCAUUCUCCGUUCUACGGCCCUAGAUUGGGAGUGUGACACAUCGCACUGAAUGCUACAUGGCCACAGCAGCAUGCACUGACCUUCACGUGCUGUUCAUGUUACUGACCCCAUGGCCACCAUGUCAAGUUUCCAUAACACAUCACACUGCCUCCUGCAUGGGAACAAUGAGAUGGGCAGCCUUUGCCUUACCUUGAUGUCACUGAUGCCAUACCCAGCACAUCAAGUUUCCCUGCAGCCGUUUUGCUGAUGAGCAAAGCCUUCUCUAAUGGACUCAAACACUGCACAUAGAUCACAUGACUAUGCUGUCUCACAGUUUUUUUCUAGUGCUUUUAUUUAAUUUUAUCUAUAUUUUUAUCUAUCUAUCUAUCUAUCUAUCUAUCUAUCUAUCUAUCUAUCUAUCUAUCUAUCUAUCUAUCUAUCUAUCUAUCUAUCUAUCUAUCUCUCAUAUAUGAAUUUAUUUCUAUGUGUAUUCAUUCAGUUCUUUUCACUUUUACUGGGCAGUACCCACACUUUAAUCAUGUGUCCUAACAUUCAUGUACUGGGAAACAUGUUGUAGAAUUCAGUCAUGAUGUCAUAGUUCAAUUGAUAUUAAAAUAAUGAUUUAUUUUUGUUUGUGA